RNAcentral lists this ribosomal RNA (377 nucleotides) under uncultured organism. RNAcentral describes it as "bacterial SSU rRNA". It matches the Rfam family "Bacterial small subunit ribosomal RNA", at positions 45 to 433 of the family's 1533-position model. The record is from RNAcentral.
CGCCUAACACAUGCAAGUCGAACGAGAAAGUGAGCAAUCAUGAGUAAAGUGGCGAACGGGUGAGGAACGCGUGAGAAUCUACCCAAUAGUGGAGGAUACCCUUAAGAAAUUGAGGCUAAUCCUGCAUAAGCUCGAGAGAGGAAAGAUGGCUAUUGCUGUCGCUAUUGGAAGAGCUCGCGACCUAUUAGUUAGUUGGUGAGGUAAAGGCUCACCAAGACGAAGAUGGGUAUCCGGCCUGAGAGGGUGAACGGACACACUGGGACUGAGAUACGGCCCAGACUCCUACGGGAGGCAGCAGUGGGGAAUAUUGCGCAAUGGGCGAAAGCCUGACGCAGCGAUGCCGCGUGAAGGAUGAAGGUCUUAGGAUUGUAAACUUC